UGUGUGUUUGUCAGAAAAGAAGCAGCUAAUUAAGGACCCCACUACAGUAGGGAGAUUCCCAAAUCGUAUAUCAUGAGGCACAUGCAGCAUUCAAAUCCUUCAGAUGCACAAAUUUUCGCAUUGCAUCGGAGGAGAUUACAAGUUUAGCAAGAAAGCAAGUAAU
This is a long non-coding RNA of Rhodamnia argentea, 163 nucleotides long. RefSeq lists it as uncharacterized. Lineage: Eukaryota; Viridiplantae; Streptophyta; Magnoliopsida; Myrtales; Myrtaceae. The transcript has 3 exons. The record is from RefSeq and is a predicted model, not a curated record.